ACUCCUACGGGAGGCAGCAGUAGGGAAUUUUCCGCAAUGGACGAAAGUCUGACGGAGCAAUGCCGCGUGAGUGAUGAAGGUUUUCGAAUCGUAAAGCUCUGUUGUAAGGGAAGAAUAGCAAGAAUAGGAAAUGAUUCUUGUCUGACGGUACCUUACCAGAAAGCCACGGCUAACUACGUGCCAGCAGCCGCGGUAAUACGUAGGUGGCAAGCGUUAUCCGGAAUUAUUGGGCGUAAAGCGCAUGUAGGCGGGAGGCUAAGUCAGAUGUGAAAGCCCUGGGCUCAAGCCU
RNAcentral lists this ribosomal RNA (289 nucleotides) under uncultured bacterium. Its description in RNAcentral is "partial 16S ribosomal RNA". It matches the Rfam family "Bacterial small subunit ribosomal RNA", at positions 335 to 615 of the family's 1533-position model. The record is from RNAcentral.